This is a small nuclear RNA of Cricetulus griseus (Chinese hamster), 161 nucleotides long. Its record names the gene U1. It matches the Rfam family "U1 spliceosomal RNA". Rfam says of the family: U1 is a small nuclear RNA (snRNA) component of the spliceosome (involved in pre-mRNA splicing). Its 5' end forms complementary base pairs with the 5' splice junction, thus defining the 5' donor site of an intron. There are significant differences in sequence and secondary structure between metazoan and yeast U1 snRNAs, the latter being much longer (568 nucleotides as compared to 164 nucleotides in human). The record is from Ensembl. Lineage: Eukaryota; Metazoa; Chordata; Mammalia; Rodentia; Cricetidae.
AGGAAUACCUGGUGGGGGAGAUACCAUGAUCAGGCAGGUGGUUUUCUAGGGCAAGGCUCAUCCAUUACCCUUCAUAUGUGCUGACCUCGGCAAUUUCUCCAAAUUCAAGAAUUUCAAAUGCAUAGCUUGUGAUAGUAAGAACUGCAUUCACACUCUCCUUC